CCUACGGUGGGCAGCAGUGGGGAAUAUUGGACAAUGGGGGGAACCCUGAUCCAGCGACGCCGCGUGAGUGAAGAAGUAUUUCGGUAUGUAAAGCUCUAUCAGCAGGGAAGAAAGGAAUGACGGUACCUGAAUAAGAAGCCCCGGCUAACUACGUGCCAGCAGCCGCGGUAAUACGUAGGGGGCAAGCGUUAUCCGGAUUUACUUGGUGUAAAGGGAGCGUAGACGGUUACGCAAGUCUGGAGUGAAAGGCGGGGGCCCAACCCCCGGACUGCUUUGGAAACUGUAUAACUGGAGUGCAGGAGAGGUAAGUGGAAUGCCUAGUGUAGCGGUGAAAUGAGUAGAGAUUAGGAGGAACACCAGUGGCGAAGGCGGCUUACUGGACUGUAACUGACGUUGAGGCUCGAAAGCGUGGGGAGCAAACAGGAUUAGAUACCCGAGUAGUC
This 443-nucleotide ribosomal RNA is filed under the name uncultured bacterium. Its description in RNAcentral is "partial 16S ribosomal RNA". It matches the Rfam family "Bacterial small subunit ribosomal RNA", at positions 338 to 795 of the family's 1533-position model. The record is from RNAcentral.